Molecule: non-coding RNA, 91 nt
Organism: Thalictrum thalictroides
Lineage: Eukaryota; Viridiplantae; Streptophyta; Magnoliopsida; Ranunculales; Ranunculaceae
Source: the annotation of a GenBank genome assembly
UGGCUGUAGCUAAAUUGAUUUCAAAAGAAGUUUACUGGCCGGUUGUUGUGAAUUUCAGUCAACAAAUCUGCUUACCGAACUUCUUAUAUUU